RNAcentral lists this long non-coding RNA (2448 nucleotides) under Homo sapiens (human). Its description in RNAcentral is "non-protein coding MALAT1:45". The record is from RNAcentral. Lineage: Eukaryota; Metazoa; Chordata; Mammalia; Primates; Hominidae.
GUAAAGGACUGGGGCCCCGCAACUGGCCUCUCCUGCCCUCUUAAGCGCAGCGCCAUUUUAGCAACGCAGAAGCCCGGCGCCGGGAAGCCUCAGCUCGCCUGAAGGCAGGUCCCCUCUGACGCCUCCGGGAGCCCAGGUUUCCCAGAGUCCUUGGGACGCAGCGACGAGUUGUGCUGCUAUCUUAGCUGUCCUUAUAGGCUGGCCAUUCCAGGUGGUGGUAUUUAGAUAAAACCACUCAAACUCUGCAGUUUGGUCUUGGGGUUUGGAGGAAAGCUUUUAUUUUUCUUCCUGCUCCGGUUCAGAAGGUCUGAAGCUCAUACCUAACCAGGCAUAACACAGAAUCUGCAAAACAAAAACCCCUAAAAAAGCAGACCCAGAGCAGUGUAAACACUUCUGGGUGUGUCCCUGACUGGCUGCCCAAGGUCUCUGUGUCUUCGGAGACAAAGCCAUUCGCUUAGUUGGUCUACUUUAAAAGGCCACUUGAACUCGCUUUCCAUGGCGAUUUGCCUUGUGAGCACUUUCAGGAGAGCCUGGAAGCUGAAAAACGGUAGAAAAAUUUCCGUGCGGGCCGUGGGGGGCUGGCGGCAACUGGGGGGCCGCAGAUCAGAGUGGGCCACUGGCAGCCAACGGCCCCCGGGGCUCAGGCGGGGAGCAGCUCUGUGGUGUGGGAUUGAGGCGUUUUCCAAGAGUGGGUUUUCACGUUUCUAAGAUUUCCCAAGCAGACAGCCCGUGCUGCUCCGAUUUCUCGAACAAAAAAGCAAAACGUGUGGCUGUCUUGGGAGCAAGUCGCAGGACUGCAAGCAGUUGGGGGAGAAAGUCCGCCAUUUUGCCACUUCUCAACCGUCCCUGCAAGGCUGGGGCUCAGUUGCGUAAUGGAAAGUAAAGCCCUGAACUAUCACACUUUAAUCUUCCUUCAAAAGGUGGUAAACUAUACCUACUGUCCCUCAAGAGAACACAAGAAGUGCUUUAAGAGGUAUUUUAAAAGUUCCGGGGGUUUUGUGAGGUGUUUGAUGACCCGUUUAAAAUAUGAUUUCCAUGUUUCUUUUGUCUAAAGUUUGCAGCUCAAAUCUUUCCACACGCUAGUAAUUUAAGUAUUUCUGCAUGUGUAGUUUGCAUUCAAGUUCCAUAAGCUGUUAAGAAAAAUCUAGAAAAGUAAAACUAGAACCUAUUUUUAACCGAAGAACUACUUUUUGCCUCCCUCACAAAGGCGGCGGAAGGUGAUCGAAUUCCGGUGAUGCGAGUUGUUCUCCGUCUAUAAAUACGCCUCGCCCGAGCUGUGCGGUAGGCAUUGAGGCAGCCAGCGCAGGGGCUUCUGCUGAGGGGGCAGGCGGAGCUUGAGGAAACCGCAGAUAAGUUUUUUUCUCUUUGAAAGAUAGAGAUUAAUACAACUACUUAAAAAAUAUAGUCAAUAGGUUACUAAGAUAUUGCUUAGCGUUAAGUUUUUAACGUAAUUUUAAUAGCUUAAGAUUUUAAGAGAAAAUAUGAAGACUUAGAAGAGUAGCAUGAGGAAGGAAAAGAUAAAAGGUUUCUAAAACAUGACGGAGGUUGAGAUGAAGCUUCUUCAUGGAGUAAAAAAUGUAUUUAAAAGAAAAUUGAGAGAAAGGACUACAGAGCCCCGAAUUAAUACCAAUAGAAGGGCAAUGCUUUUAGAUUAAAAUGAAGGUGACUUAAACAGCUUAAAGUUUAGUUUAAAAGUUGUAGGAUGAAACAAUUUGGAGAAGAUAGAAGUUUGAAGUGGAAAACUGGAAGACAGAAGUACGGGAAGGCGAAGAAAAGAAUAGAGAAGAUAGGGAAAUUAGAAGAUAAAAACAUACUUUUAGAAGAAAAAAGAAAAAGCUAAGGGCAAAAUGUACAAACUUAGAAGAAAAUUGGAAGAUAGAAACAAGAUAGAAAAUGAAAAUAUUGUCAAGAGUUUCAGAUAGAAAAUGAAAAACAAGCUAAGACAAGUAUUGGAGAAGUAUAGAAGAUAGAAAAAUAUAAAGCCAAAAAUUGGAUAAAAUAGCACUGAAAAAAUGAGGAAAUUAUUGGUAACCAAUUUAUUUUAAAAGCCCAUCAAUUUAAUUUCUGGUGGUGCAGAAGUUAGAAGGUAAAGCUUGAGAAGAUGAGGGUGUUUACGUAGACCAGAACCAAUUUAGAAGAAUACUUGAAGCUAGAAGGGGAAGUUGGUUAAAAAUCACAUCAAAAAGCUACUAAAAGGACUGGUGUAAUUUAAAAAAAACUAAGGCAGAAGGCUUUUGGAAGACUAGGAAGAAGGAAGGAGCGCUAACGAUUUGGUGGUGAAGCUAGGAAAAAGGAUUCCAGGAAGGAGCGAGUGCAAUUUGGUGAUGAAGGUAGCAGGCGGCUUGGCUUGGCAACCACACGGAGGAGGCUUAUACUCAUGAAUCUUGUCUGAAGCUUUUGAGGGCAGACUGCCAAGUCCUGGAGAAAUAGUAGAUGGCAAGUUUGUGG